AGUCGAACGGUAAGAGCGGAGCUUGCGUCCGGCUGACGAGUGGCGCACGGGUGGGUAACGCGUAUACAAUCUACGUUGUACAGGGGUAUAGCCUUUAGAAAUGAAGAGUAAUCCCCCAUAAUAUCUUAUUAGUGGCAUCAGUUAAAAGAUUAAAGCUUCGGGUGGUAAGAGAUGAGUAUGCGUUCUAUUAGCUAGUAGGUGAGGUAACGGCUCACCUAGGCGACGAUAGAUAGGGGCCCUGAGAGGGGGAUCCCCCACGCUGGUACUGAGACACGGACCAGACUCCAUACGGGAGGCAGCAGUGAGGAAUAUUGGACAAUGGGCGCAAGCCUGAUCCAGCCAUGCCGCGUGCAGGAAGACUGCCCUAUGGGUUGUAAACUGCUUUUAUAUAGGAAGAAACCAUUCUACGUGUAGAGUGCUGACGGUACUAUAAGAAUAAGCAUCGGCUAACUCCGUGCCAGCAGCCGCGGUAAUACGGAGGAUGCAAGCGUUAUCCGGAAUCAUUGGGUUUAAAGGGUCCGUAGGUGGAUAGAUAAGUCAGAGGUGAAAUCCUGCAGCUCAACUGUAGAAUUGCCUUUGAAACUGUUUAUCUUGAAUUAUGGUGAAGUGGUUAGAAUAUGUAGUGUAGCGGUGAAAUUCAUAGAUAUUACAUAGAAUACCAAUUGCGAAGGCAGAUCACUAACCAUAUAUUGACACUGAUGGACGAAAGCGUGGGUAGCGAACGGGAUUAGAUACCCCGGUAGUCCCCGCCGUAAACGAUGGUCA
RNAcentral lists this ribosomal RNA (765 nucleotides) under uncultured bacterium. RNAcentral describes it as "bacterial SSU rRNA". It matches the Rfam family "Bacterial small subunit ribosomal RNA", at positions 60 to 815 of the family's 1533-position model. The record is from RNAcentral.